RNAcentral lists this non-coding RNA (86 nucleotides) under Pseudoalteromonas ulvae. Its description in RNAcentral is "c-di-GMP sequence". It matches the Rfam family "c-di-GMP-I riboswitch aptamer". Rfam says of the family: GEMM was predicted in a large-scale screen for bacterial structured RNA regulatory elements. Lineage: Bacteria; Pseudomonadati; Pseudomonadota; Gammaproteobacteria; Alteromonadales; Pseudoalteromonadaceae. The record is from Rfam by way of RNAcentral.
GUUCGACAAAGGCAAACUUAAUGAAAGUUAAGGACGCAAAGCUGUUGAUCUAAGGGUGCUUUACCUAUGAUUGCAAGGCCGCCAAC